GUGAUCCUACGGGGCGCAGCAGUGAGGAAUAUUAGUCAAUGGGCGGGAGCCUGAACCAGCCAAGCCGCGUGAGGGAAGAAGGUACAGCGUAUCGUAAACCUCUUUUGUCAGGGAACAAAGGCGGGGACUAGUCCCCGGAUGAGGGUACUUGAAGAAAAAGCAUCGGCUAACUCCGUGCCAGCAGCCGCGGUAAUACGGAGGAUGCGAGCGUUAUCCGGAUUUAUUGGGUUUAAAGGGUGCGUAGGCGGACUGUUAAGUCAGCGGUAAAAGCCCGGGGCUCAACCCCGGCGAGCCGUUGAAACUGG
RNAcentral lists this ribosomal RNA (305 nucleotides) under uncultured bacterium. Its description in RNAcentral is "bacterial SSU rRNA". It matches the Rfam family "Bacterial small subunit ribosomal RNA", at positions 333 to 636 of the family's 1533-position model. The record is from RNAcentral.